This is a non-coding RNA of Nerophis lumbriciformis (worm pipefish), 491 nucleotides long. The record is from the annotation of a RefSeq genome assembly. Lineage: Eukaryota; Metazoa; Chordata; Actinopteri; Syngnathiformes; Syngnathidae.
UGAAGCGUGCAUUGGUGUGUGUGCUGAUGGCUGCCUGGAGCCUUGGAUGUGGCAGCCAGACGGUGCACCAGCCAGCAGAGAAUGUGUACGCCAUGAAAGGCGACUCAGUUACGCUGGACUGCAGCUAUGAAAAUUCUGGAAGCUUCGACUACAUCUUCUGGUACAAACAGGACGGGCAGAGGGCACCAAAGUUCAUCCUGAGCCUCUCAAUAUUGGAUGAGGGCAAGACUGAGAGCAGCUUUGAAAAGAGGUUGAGCUGCAGCAUCAAUGACACCGCCAAGCGAGCUCCUCUGAAGAUCCAAGACGUGCAGCUGAACGACUCUGCUGUCUUCUACUGCGCCAUCCAGCCCACAAUGACUGACAUCUCUGCUGCACCUGCACAAAAACCUCUGUAGGCUCCUCAUCCCACUGUGGCUGUUUAAGAGUUGGUUCUGAGGUUUUCACAGCUUUUGUCCUAGUCAGGACAUCACGAGGGUGGGGAACUGGAGAUG